Molecule: ribosomal RNA, 2907 nt
Filed under: Salmonella enterica subsp. enterica serovar Typhimurium
Lineage: Bacteria; Pseudomonadati; Pseudomonadota; Gammaproteobacteria; Enterobacterales; Enterobacteriaceae
Description: bacterial LSU rRNA
Rfam family: Bacterial large subunit ribosomal RNA
Source: RNAcentral
GGUUAAGCGACUAAGCGUACACGGUGGAUGCCCUGGCAGUCAGAGGCGAUGAAGGGCGUGCUAAUCUGCGAUAAGCGCCGGUAAGGUGAUAUGAACCGUUAUAACCGGCGAUACCCGAAUGGGGAAACCCAGUGUGAUUCGUCACACUAUCAUUAACUGAAUCCAUAGGUUAAUGAGGCGAACCGGGGGAACUGAAACAUCUAAGUACCCCGAGGAAAAGAAAUCAACCGAGAUUCCCCCAGUAGCGGCGAGCGAACGGGGAGGAGCCCAGAGCCUGAAUCAGCAUGUGUGUUAGUGGAAGCGUCUGGAAAGGCGCGCGAUACAGGGUGACAGCCCCGUACACAAAAGCGCAUGUGCUGUGAGCUCGAUGAGUAGGGCGGGACACGUGGUAUCCUGUCUGAAUAUGGGGGGACCAUCCUCCAAGGCUAAAUACUCCUGACUGACCGAUAGUGAACCAGUACCGUGAGGGAAAGGCGAAAAGAACCCCGGCGAGGGGAGUGAAAAAGAACCUGAAACCGUGUACGUACAAGCAGUGGGAGCACAGGUUUACCUGUGUGACUGCGUACCUUUUGUAUAAUGGGUCAGCGACUUAUAUUCUGUAGCAAGGUUAACCGAAUAGGGGAGCCGGAGGGAAACCGAGUCUUAAUUGGGCGUUAAGUUGCAGGGUAUAGACCCGAAACCCGGUGAUCUAGCCAUGGGCAGGUUGAAGGUUGGGUAACACUAACUGGAGGACCGAACCGACUAAUGUUGAAAAAUUAGCGGAUGACCUGUGGCUGGGGGUGAAAGGCCAAUCAAACCGGGAGAUAGCUGGUUCUCCCCGAAAGCUAUUUAGGUAGCGCCUCGUGAAUUCAUCUCCGGGGGUAGAGCACUGUUUCGGCUAGGGGGCCAUCCCGGCUUACCAACCCGAUGCAAACUGCGAAUACCGGAGAAUGUUAUCACGGGAGACACACGGCGGGUGCUAACGUCCGUCGUGAAGAGGGAAACAACCCAGACCGCCAGCUAAGGUCCCAAAGUCAUGGUUAAGUGGGAAACGAUGUGGGAAGGCCCAGACAGCCAGGAUGUUGGCUUAGAAGCAGCCAUCAUUUAAAGAAAGCGUAAUAGCUCACUGGUCGAGUCGGCCUGCGCGGAAGAUGUAACGGGGCUAAACCAUGCACCGAAGCUGCGGCAGCGACACUGUGUGUUGUUGGGUAGGGGAGCGUUCUGUAAGCCUGUGAAGGUGUGUCGUGAGGCAUGCUGGAGGUAUCAGAAGUGCGAAUGCUGACAUAAGUAACGAUAAAGCGGGUGAAAAGCCCGCUCGCCGGAAGACCAAGGGUUCCUGUCCAACGUUAAUCGGGGCAGGGUGAGUCGACCCCUAAGGCGAGGCCGAAAGGCGUAGUCGAUGGGAAACGGGUUAAUAUUCCCGUACUUGGUGUUACUGCGAAGGGGGGACGGAGAAGGCUAUGUUGGCCGGGCGACGGUUGUCCCGGUUUAAGCGUGUAGGUGUGUGUUCCAGGUAAAUCCGGUUCACUUUAACACUGAGGCGUGAUGACGAGGCACUACGGUGCUGAAGCAACAAAUGCCCUGCUUCCAGGAAAAGCCUCUAAGCAUCAGGUAACAUCAAAUCGUACCCCAAACCGACACAGGUGGUCAGGUAGAGAAUACCAAGGCGCUUGAGAGAACUCGGGUGAAGGAACUAGGCAAAAUGGUGCCGUAACUUCGGGAGAAGGCACGCUGACACGUAGGUGAAGUGAUUUACUCAUGGAGCUGAAGUCAGUCGAAGAUACCAGCUGGCUGCAACUGUUUAUUAAAAACACAGCACUGUGCAAACACGAAAGUGGACGUAUACGGUGUGACGCCUGCCCGGUGCCGGAAGGUUAAUUGAUGGGGUCAGCGCAAGCGAAGCUCCUGAUCGAAGCCCCGGUAAACGGCGGCCGUAACUAUAACGGUCCUAAGGUAGCGAAAUUCCUUGUCGGGUAAGUUCCGACCUGCACGAAUGGCGUAAUGAUGGCCAGGCUGUCUCCACCCGAGACUCAGUGAAAUUGAACUCGCUGUGAAGAUGCAGUGUACCCGCGGCAAGACGGAAAGACCCCGUGAACCUUUACUAUAGCUUGACACUGAACAUUGAGCCUUGAUGUGUAGGAUAGGUGGGAGGCUUUGAAGCGUGGACGCCAGUCUGCGUGGAGCCGACCUUGAAAUACCACCCUUUAAUGUUUGAUGUUCUAACGUGGACCCGUGAUCCGGGUUGCGGACAGUGUCUGGUGGGUAGUUUGACUGGGGCGGUCUCCUCCUAAAGAGUAACGGAGGAGCACGAAGGUUGGCUAAUCCUGGUCGGACAUCAGGAGGUUAGUGCAAUGGCAUAAGCCAGCUUGACUGCGAGCGUGACGGCGCGAGCAGGUGCGAAAGCAGGUCAUAGUGAUCCGGUGGUUCUGAAUGGAAGGGCCAUCGCUCAACGGAUAAAAGGUACUCCGGGGAUAACAGGCUGAUACCGCCCAAGAGUUCAUAUCGACGGCGGUGUUUGGCACCUCGAUGUCGGCUCAUCACAUCCUGGGGCUGAAGUAGGUCCCAAGGGUAUGGCUGUUCGCCAUUUAAAGUGGUACGCGAGCUGGGUUUAGAACGUCGUGAGACAGUUCGGUCCCUAUCUGCCGUGGGCGCUGGAGAACUGAGGGGGGCUGCUCCUAGUACGAGAGGACCGGAGUGGACGCAUCACUGGUGUUCGGGUUGUCAUGCCAAUGGCACUGCCCGGUAGCUAAAUGCGGAAGAGAUAAGUGCUGAAAGCAUCUAAGCACGAAACUUGCCCCGAGAUGAGUUCUCCCUGAGACUUAGAGUCUCCUGAAGGAACGUUGAAGACGACGACGUUGAUAGGCCGGGUGUGUAAGCGCAGCGAUGCGUUGAGCUAACCGGUACUAAUGAACCGUGAGGCUUAACCUU